Molecule: ribosomal RNA, 254 nt
Filed under: uncultured bacterium
Lineage: Bacteria
Description: partial 16S ribosomal RNA
Rfam family: Bacterial small subunit ribosomal RNA
Source: RNAcentral
GACGGAGGGGGCUAGCGUUGUUCGGAAUUACUGGGCGUAAAGGGCGCGUAGGCGGCUCUUCAAGUUAGGCGUGAAAGCCCUGGGCUUAACCUAGGAAUAGCGUUUAAUACUGGAGAGCUAGAGAUUGGUAGAGGGAAAUGGAAUUCCUAGUGUAGAGGUGAAAUUCGUAGAUAUUAGGAAGAACACCAGAGGCGGAAGGCGGUUUCCUGGGCCAAUACUGACGCUGAGGCGCGAAAGCGUGGGGAGCAAACAGG